Small nucleolar RNA from Coffea eugenioides, 107 nucleotides. The record is from RefSeq and is a predicted model, not a curated record. NCBI's taxonomy places the organism in Eukaryota, Viridiplantae, Streptophyta, Magnoliopsida, Gentianales, Rubiaceae.
AUUUGGUGCUGAGGGCACUUGAUGCACAACUUCUUGAAUCGCUCCCAGUAAUCAUAAAGCGACUCCCCUGGAUAUUGUUUGAUACCGCAUAUCUCCUUCCUUAAACU